GGGUAACCUGCCCAUCAGAAGGGGAUAACACUUGGAAACAGGUGCUAAUACCGUAUAACAAUCGAAACCGCAUGGUUUCGUUUUGAAAGGCGCUUUACGGUGCCGCUGAUGGAUGGACCCGCGGUGCAUUAGCUAGUUGGUGAGGUAACGGCUCACCAAGGCCACGAUGCAUAGCCGACCUGAGAGGGUGAUCGGCCACAUUGGGACUGAGACACGGCCCAAACUCCUACGGGAGGCAGCAGUAGGGAAUCUUCGGCAAUGGACGAAAGUCUGACCGAGCAACGCCGCGUGAGUGAAGAAGGUUUUCGGAUCGUAAAACUCUGUUGUUAGAGAAGAACAAGGGUGAGAGUAACUGUUCACCCCUUGACGGUAUCUAACCAGAAAGCCACGGCUAACUACGUGCCAGCAGCCGCGGUAAUACGUAGGUGGCAAGCGUUGUCCGGAUUUAUUGGGCGUAAAGCGAGCGCAGGCGGUUUCUUAAGUCUGAUGUGAAAGCCCCCGGCUCAACCGGGGAGGGUCAUUGGAAACUGGGAGACUUGAGUGCAGAAGAGGAGAGUGGAAUUCCAUGUGUAGCGGUGAAAUGCGUAGAUAUAUGGAGGAACACCAGUGGCGAAGGCGGCUCUCUGGUCUGUAACUGACGCUGAGGCUCGAAAGCGUGGGGAGCAAACAGGAUUAGAUACCCUGGUAGUCCACGCCGUAAACGAUGAGUGCUAAGUGUUGGAGGGUUUCCGCCCUUCAGUGCUGCAGCUAACGCAUUAAGCACUCCGCCUGGGGAGUACGACCGCAAGGUUGAAACUCAAAGGAAUUGACGGGGGCCCGCACAAGCGGUGGAGCAUGUGGUUUAAUUCGAAGCAACGCGAAGAACCUUACCAGGUCUUGACAUCCUUUGACCACUCUAGAGAUAGAGCUUCCCCUUCGGGGGCAAAGUGACAGGUGGUGCAUGGUUGUCGUCAGCUCGUGUCGUGAGAUGUUGGGUUAAGUCCCGCAACGAGCGCAACCCUUAUUGUUAGUUGCCAUCAUUUAGUUGGGCACUCUAGCAAGACUGCCGGUGACAAACCGGAGGAAGGUGGGGAUGACGUCAAAUCAUCAUGCCCCUUAUGACCUGGGCUACACACGUGCUACAAUGGGAAGUACAACGAGUCGCGAAGUCGCGAGGCUAAGCUAAUCUCUUAAAGCUUCUCUCAGUUCGGAUUGUAGGCUGCAACUCGCCUACA
This 1214-nucleotide ribosomal RNA is filed under the name Enterococcus mundtii. Its description in RNAcentral is "bacterial SSU rRNA". It matches the Rfam family "Bacterial small subunit ribosomal RNA", at positions 119 to 1320 of the family's 1533-position model. The record is from RNAcentral. Lineage: Bacteria; Bacillati; Bacillota; Bacilli; Lactobacillales; Enterococcaceae.